GGGGUCGUAGCUCAGUUGGUAGAGCGCUUGAAUGGCAUUCAAGAGGUCAGGGGUUCAACUCCCCUCGGCUCCA
Molecule: transfer RNA, 73 nt
Filed under: Flavihumibacter sp.
Lineage: Bacteria; Pseudomonadati; Bacteroidota; Chitinophagia; Chitinophagales; Chitinophagaceae
Also listed under: 3 other names
Description: tRNA-Ala
Rfam family: tRNA
About the family: Transfer RNA (tRNA) molecules are approximately 80 nucleotides in length. Their secondary structure includes four short double-helical elements and three loops (D, anti-codon, and T loops).
Source: RNAcentral